Molecule: long non-coding RNA, 1664 nt
Filed under: Ananas comosus (pineapple)
Lineage: Eukaryota; Viridiplantae; Streptophyta; Magnoliopsida; Poales; Bromeliaceae
Description: long non-coding RNA (ACOM_LNC021278)
Source: RNAcentral
AAGAAUGUGUACAAGAAUUUUCCAGAAAUUUAAAUUCUAAAUAUACACAUUCAACGGGGCACGAAUAGUGCCAGCAACUACAAGAGCAAACAAUCCACAGGAAUAACAUGUGAAAUAAAGAGAGUACUUUACUAACUAUUACAAUAGUUCAUUUACAUCAUUUUCUUUCAAUGAUUACAUCAUUCAUCCAAAAUACAUAGCUCUCCAAGUCCUCACCUACAAUGAAUCUCUCUCAAUACAUAGGUGUACUAAUGCAAAAAGGAAAGCUACUAUACUACCACGGUCUCACUGAUCGGGCGCGAUGCCCUUGCCGCGGUCCUCCCUCGGCAGCCCUGUACCUACCACUGGAAAUAGAGUGGGGUGAGAACUAUCUUUCAUAGUUCCCAGUGAGCUCGGCCGCCGACUCUGCCGGUCUCCUCAUUAGGUCCAAGUGGGCACAAGUAACAACAGAUAGAUUGUCACGUCCCGCUAUCGCCAAUUUGGUUGAUCCGGGCCCGUACACAGACGCCGAACGAACAGAACCUCCUCUAUCCGCCCAAGGCUCAACAACAACGAGUACAUGUAUAAAGAAAUAAACAAUUCCUAGGAUAACAUUUCAAUAUACAUGGCUUGCACGAGGGCAAGCAACAAGCACAAGUGAUAGUAAGCUAGCUAUACUGAAAAUUCACCGUAAUUUAAAAAUUUUAAACUGAACUUUACAUAACUGAAUAACUGAAACAUUUAGUUAUUUACAACUUUAUAAUACAUUCAUUUACAUGUCUCUGUACAUCAAAAUGUCUCACAUGAACUCAAAAUGGUAUACCACUAAACACUGGUGUCUGCUAGCUAGGCUGCAGGGCUCUUGCCGCGAUCCUCGGCCACAAUGCUCGCACUGGAACCUGUAUGGUUAGUGGUGUGAGAACUACUAAAAGUUACCAGUGGGUUCGGCCGCCGACCUCGCCGACUCACCCACUAGGUCCAUUUAGGCAUACGCAGGCAAAAGAAGUAAACAGAUAGUAACCAACUAUAACAUGUAACUACUAUAAUGCCUGUACAAAGCUAAAGGAAGCAAUAUAUGAAAACUGUAAAUAUGCAUGCAUGCUUUUACUGAAUUUACCCAAUCUUUUGGUUAACCUUUUGGUUAACAAUAACUCUCACUGACACUAUCCCAAAUAUCGGGGAGACGCAAGCUACACCCGAUGGGACUGUCAACUGGGGGAGACGCACCUCCUGGUCCAGUUAAGAUGACUACUUCGGAGUUCAUCGUUCAAGGAGGAGCGACCUACCUUGAACCAAACGAAUGUGAGUAUGAUCUGAUCCUUCUUUAGAGGAUUCAACAAUAGACAAUGUCACACUUUGACUCCAACUAGCUCUUUAUGCUGGUUUCACAAUUCCAUUUCUCGAUGCUAACCAAAUCUCUAAUUAGAAUGUCACCAAGUUUACUAUUGUUAUAGUCCAUGCAUUCAUAGGGUUCUAUGUCACACAUUCUAAUUGUUCACAAUAUUCUCCAUGUUGAUAGCAUGUUGUAUAAUCAAUAUAUCAUUAUACAUAAACAUAUCAAUACCCCUACAAUGCAUGAUUACAAUGUAAAUAUGCUCAAUGAAUAUCAUAGACAUAAAAGGUGAUUCAAAGAUUCGGAUAGCCCACCCACCUGUAGUGGUGUCAACAACUAGAAUCCACGUCUC